Protopterus annectens (West African lungfish) is the source of this 135-nucleotide small nucleolar RNA. RefSeq annotates it as small nucleolar RNA SNORA13. Lineage: Eukaryota; Metazoa; Chordata; Ceratodontiformes; Protopteridae. The transcript has a single exon. The record is from RefSeq and is a predicted model, not a curated record.
GGCCCCUGUGUUGCCCAUUCAUUUUUGCUGUUGGUGAAUGUGGUGUCAGAAGGGGCAAAAAUUAAAAUUCCUUGUGGCAUUUUAAAAUACCUUAGAUUUCCCAUCUAAAGGCUCUUGUUCACUUGGGACAAAUUA